CUUAGUGGCGGACGGGUGAGUAACGCGUGAGUAACCUGCCUUUCAGAGGGGGAUAACAACCGGAAACGGUUGCUAAUACCGCAUAAAAUAUUGAGACUGCAUGGUUUUAAUAUCAAAGGAGCAAUCCGCUGAGAGAUGGACUCGCGUCCAAUUAGCUAGUUGGUGAGGUAAUGGCUCACCAAGGCGACGAUUGGUAGCCGGACUGAGAGGUUGAACGGCCACAUUGGGACUGAGACACGGCCCAGACUCCUACGGGAGGCAGCAGUGGGGAAUAUUGCACAAUGGGGGAAACCCUGAUGCAGCGACGCCGCGUGAGGGAAGAAGGUUUUCGGAUUGUAAACCUCUGUCCUCGGUGAAGAUAAUGACGGUAACCGAGGAGGAAGCCACGGCUAACUACGUGCCAGCAGCCGCGGUAAUACGUAGGUGGCAAGCGUUGUCCGGAAUUACUGGGUGUAAAGGGAGCGUAGGCGGGGAUGCAAGUUGAAUGUUAAAUCUAUGGGCUCAACCCAUAUUCGCGUUCAAAACUGCAUUUCUUGAGUGAAGUAGAGGUAGGCGGAAUUCCUAGUGUAGCGGUGAAAUGCGUAAAUAUUAGGAGGAACACCAGUGGCGAAGGCGGCCUACUGGGCUUUAACUGACGCUGAGGCUCGAAAGCGUGGGUAGCAAACAGGAUUAGAUACCCUGGUAGUCCACGCUGUAAACGAUGAUUACUAGGUGUGGGGGGACUGACCCCUUCCGUGCCGCAGUUAACACAAUAAGUAAUCCACCUGGGGAGUACGACCGCAAGGUUGAAA
RNAcentral lists this ribosomal RNA (791 nucleotides) under uncultured bacterium. Its description in RNAcentral is "bacterial SSU rRNA". It matches the Rfam family "Bacterial small subunit ribosomal RNA", at positions 91 to 899 of the family's 1533-position model. The record is from RNAcentral.